RNAcentral lists this ribosomal RNA (250 nucleotides) under uncultured prokaryote. RNAcentral's name for it is "partial 16S ribosomal RNA". It matches the Rfam family "Bacterial small subunit ribosomal RNA", at positions 524 to 773 of the family's 1533-position model. The record is from RNAcentral.
UACAGAGGCGACGAGCGUUGUUCGGAUUUACUGGGCGUAAAGCGUGCGCAGGCGGCGGGACAUGUCCAAUGUGAAAUCCCGGGGCCCAGCCCCGGAAGUGCAUUGGAAACCGUCCUGCUGGAGGCCGGGAAGGGAGUCUGGAACACACGGUGUAGCGGUGAAAUGCGUUGAUAUCGUGUGGAACACCGGAAGCGAAGGCGAGACUCUGGAACGGCACUGACGCUCAUGCACGAAAGCGUGGGGAGCAAAC